AUUUUUUCGGUAGCCGUGAAGGCAGCCUUCGCUUUCAAUCUCCAGCCGCACAGGCGCACUGGCUUCAUGCUGGCAAGAUGAGAGCACUGGUCAGCCUUGCCUCUGCCCAAAACUUGUAAGUACCACUUUGUGAGCAGGCCACUGAACUGGACUGAAGCUCAGAGCUUCUGCAGACAGGUCUACACUGACCUGGCCACCAUAUAAAACAUUGCUGACAUCAGUGCAGUAAACACCACCAUAUCGAACUAUGCAGCUCUUCAGACAGUACAGAUUGUCACCACGGUUGUUGUCCCUGAAGGUUCAGUCUGUUGAGACAGGAGACCUGUGGAGGAAAGACAAAAUGAGAUGGAGGAGAAUGGAAAUCUGUUUAUCAGAUGAAAUGUAGUUUAACCUAUUUGGAGAAUUUUCUUAAAAUAAGACAUGACAUAUCCAAAAUCUAUACUUCAAUAACAAUUCUUUACAGUGUGCCCUACAUACUAAUGACCAUAUAAUACUGUUUAACAGUCACCAUACAAAAUAAUUUGAUGAUACAAUACAUGCACUAAUGAAACUGCAGCUUUUGAAUGCACUGCUAGUCAAAUAAAAAAAAAGAGAAAUCAAAGGUCUUCCUAAAAUGUUGUACUGUUUUUUUGUUUGUUUGUUUUCCAAGAUCUUUUGGAGCUGUUUCACCACCAUUCAAAAUUUUUUCAAAAUUGUCCAGGUGUGAGUAGUGCUUCCUUUGUGCAGUGCAUUAUGGGAAAAUAGUGUCUAUCGACAGUAGACUUAAAAAAAAUCAACUGUAUUUAUUGUGCAUAUUGUUUGGUUUGAGUAUACUUCACUUCAUCACUUCUUUGUGAAGAUACUGAAAACGUACUUCAACUGGUUAGUAUGGAUUUCGGAGGUGCCAUGAUGAUUCGCAGUCAAGUAGAGGUCAAUUUAGCCAGGAUUUUUAUUUUUUUUUAAUUUAUGUGUUUUAAUGUGAGGUUUGAAAGAACUUUAUGCAACCUCACUUUAUGCACUCCAUGUAGCUGUAACAGUUGCAGAGAUCAGUCCCAAAACACAUAUACAGUACUGUACUUAGCUCAUCUUUUCUGUAAUAGUAGAAUCAUCUCUGCUUAGAAAGUGGUUAUAGCUGUGAGAAUUUUUCUUUGUCAGUAAGAUUAAGAUUUUAUUUUUAAAGUAUUGUGGAAAUGUGUGUGACUAUACAUGGUAUGAUUCAGUCAGUAUGAAAU
Long non-coding RNA from Xiphias gladius (swordfish), 1211 nucleotides. RefSeq lists it as uncharacterized. The transcript is spliced from 3 exons. The record is from RefSeq and is a predicted model, not a curated record. Lineage: Eukaryota; Metazoa; Chordata; Actinopteri; Istiophoriformes; Xiphiidae.